This is a long non-coding RNA of Micropterus salmoides (largemouth bass), 1297 nucleotides long. RefSeq lists it as uncharacterized. The record is from RefSeq and is a predicted model, not a curated record. NCBI's taxonomy places the organism in Eukaryota, Metazoa, Chordata, Actinopteri, Centrarchiformes, Centrarchidae. The transcript is spliced from 3 exons.
CAUAUGAAAGGAAUAGUUUCAUGCAAAUCUGUUUUCCCUGAACAGUUGAUUAUGGUUGCUUACCUGCAUUUUGACACUAUUAGGAACCUCCUUUUCUCCUGCCUUGUGACCUUUUGGAUGUUGUAUCUUCAUGACCCAUCUCAGAGGCUGCAGCACUCCUGCAGGAUCACUUCAUCAGUAUAGUUCAGUUACAGCUGGGAGCUGCUAGACUGUCCCACGUGUCAGCACAGCGGUGGCGGUGAAUACCAGAGAAUCCCUGCAGGAAGAUGAACUUCCAGGCAGCUCAUGCUUCAGUUUUCAAGAAUUCUUUGUUUGAAUGCUGCAGUUUCAUCAAUCUUCUGAUUAUCCGGGGACAGGUUGCAGUGGCAACACUUUCCAGGUCCUCAUGGUGGAUCUCAAGGCGUUCUCAGUUCUGGGUCUACCCCAGGGUCUCCUCCCAGUUGGACAUGCCUGGAAAACCUCCAUAUGAAGGCACCCAGGAGGAAUCCUCAACUGGUUCCUUUAAGAAGGAGCAGCGGCUCAACGCCAAGCUCACUCCGGAUGUCCAAACUCCUCAACCUCUCUAAGGCUGAGCCCAGCCACUCUGAAAACUCAUUUCAGCCACUUGUAGCCGCAAUCUCAUUCUUUUGGUCAUUACCCACAGCUUAGGUGAAGGUUGGGACAUAUAUGGACGGGUAAAUGAGCCAUAGGUGUGAAAAUGCGUGAUCACUAGCAGAGCUGAGUGUGACCAGUUUCUGGCAAGCGCGGAAUAUUCUGAGGAGAAUCAUUAACUGCUAAAGUAAUUUUGUCCAUAGGUGAAGGUUGGGACGUAGAUGACUGGGUAAAUGGAAAGCUUUGCCUUCUGGCUCCAUUUUGCCGUCACUUGUGAACAAGAUCCCAAGAUACUUAAACUCCUUUACUUGGGGCAGCAAGUCACUCCCAACCGGCUGAAGCAAUCUACCAUUUUCCAGCAUGGCCUUUGAGGUGCUGACCCUCACCCUUAGAGAGCGGUUGAAAGUCACGGUCGAUGAAGCCAACAGAACCACAACAUCUGCAGAAAGCAGAGAUGCAAUUCGGAGGUUCCCAAAAUGGACACUCUCCUCACCACAGCUGCACCAUGAGAACCAGUCCAACACCCACUGGAAACGGGUUUGACUACGUGCCAAGAAUACAGACGAUGCUCUCACUUUGGAUAUACAAGGACAGGCUCAUGGGUCACACGUUCGUAAGCCUUCUUCAAGGUGACUUUUAAAUGCAGAGUGGUUCUCAAAUAAUGGGAGGAAAACUGAACUUUAAAGCACUUUUAAACUUGGUUUUG